RNAcentral lists this small nucleolar RNA (49 nucleotides) under Pyrobaculum aerophilum str. IM2. RNAcentral's name for it is "PAEsR56". Lineage: Archaea; Thermoproteati; Thermoproteota; Thermoprotei; Thermoproteales; Thermoproteaceae. The record is from RNAcentral.
AUGAAGACGCUUCACCUCGCAGAGGCGUGAAGAGUCCUUUAAGAACUGA